This 73-nucleotide transfer RNA is filed under the name Pleurocordyceps ramosopulvinata. Its description in RNAcentral is "tRNA-Pro". Lineage: Eukaryota; Fungi; Ascomycota; Sordariomycetes; Hypocreales; Polycephalomycetaceae. The record is from RNAcentral. RNAcentral also lists the same sequence under 5 other names.
CGGAUUAGGGCCGGCAUGGGUAGGCAUCUCGUUUGGGGCGGGAGAUAGUUAUGUUCGAAUCAUAAUAAUCCGA